GAAAUAUUUUGUGUGUACGGCAUAUACACUCAUACACUGGCAUGUGUAUGUGGUUCACAUUAUUGGAUAUUAAUUUAUUUAAAGAACACCAUGAUCAUGAUAGUGUGGAAUAUGUCAAUGUCAUGCAAUAUCUAUACAGAUCAUGCUUCUUCCAAAACCUUCUUUUAACACUGCUAGCGCAUUGUGACGGAAUUGCACCACGUAAAUCCCGUAAUCCCGUCCAAAUAGGGCUCAUGACCCGUGUGUUUUCAGGAUUGAAUUCCUAUUUUUCUGUUUCGUCCACGAGAUACGAUGUUUAAUACAUUCGACACGUCUAUUGCCAUAACCCUAUCUUGUGUAUCAUGACUAGGAUUGAGCCACGUGAAGAGAAUCUGACUCUAGAUCAGCUUAAAAGUGAACGUGGGUUAUAGUUUUCCUGUCCAAUUGGCAUAUUCAUCAAUACUCACACACACUUCAGAUGAAUUUAGCUACUUUUACUUACUCUAAAAACAAAUCAUGUGUUCUAAUUAUGAUCAGAGUGGUUUUCCCCCCAAAUAUGACCCAAAUAAAGACCUGACAACAUGGUGAUAUAUACAACUCUGUAAUGAGUCCAGCAGACUACCGGUACAUAAUGUUUUAAUGACACAUCUCAAGUUAAUACACAUUAUCUGCAUUUCACUUUCUCAUCAUCAUCAUCAUCAUCAUCAUAAUCAUCAUCAUCAUCAUCACCAGUCCUUUUUGCUGGGGGUUCGAGCCCCUUUGGAUAAAACAUGCACAGCUGUUGCAUAGGAAUCUCCACUAUGUUCUCAUUCAUGCAACGUAUUAGUGGUUUUCUUCUACGUUCCUUUGUGAGAAAAUGGUUUAUUUCGAUCAGAUAAAGGUGCGCGUGCCCGCAAUCUCCGCUUUGUCCAUGAUGUCCGGGGGCACACGCGUGUCUCGGCCACGUAAAAACAAACCCGUGGUGGCCAUGUCUCGUUGUACAGCAGCGAACAGAAAAUACAAACGUGUAAGUAAGUGCGGUGAGGUCAAGCUCGGCGAUGAUACGGAGCCGAAAAAGUGGCAAACCGAGACCUUCUUUAUUGUCCGUGCCUGUGGGUCAGACAAGAGAACGUUCUAAUAAAGUUCCUCUAGAAUGUUCUGGAGCUUGGAAGCUGUGAGCAUCGCUGCCCUCUUGUGGCGGAACUACAAAUCUCUGCGUUUACUCUUGAAGAGCGUGGUGGGGGUUUUGGUGGGUGGGUGGCUUGGUUCCAGAGAUGCUGCAGCCCAGAAGUCAUCUCCAAAUCAUCUAGUUGGUGUGAUAUUGUGCUUUUUUCUUCUUUUUUUUUUUCCAACGAUGACCCCAACACCAGGCGAGAAGGGCACAGUCCGGAUUCCGUAGCAUCCCUUAUGGUUUGAACAUCAGACGUGAUGUAAAAUGACAUGGUGUUGAAAUAUCUGGUUACCUUUUUUCUCUCCAUGACCAUCAAAUUCUUUAACAACCUGCAAAAUUGUCAUUAGGAUUGAUACGUUCUCUACGUCUGUGCUCUCAGAGUACACCUAAAGGUCAAGCCUUGAUCAAGGGCACUCGGAGAGAAGCAAACUAACUACACGUAAAACCUUGUGAAAGUGCUGUGAUGGGUAAAGCAGGUGGCCUACAUUCCACUCUGGUCUCUUUGCCAGGAUUUGAGAUCUUCUUCUCUCUCUCUCUCUCUCUCUCUCUCUCUCUCUCUCUCUAUCUCUCACUCUCACUCUUUUCUCGGGGCUGUUCUCCAGAGCCAAGAUUGGUGACAUACUAUAUCUCCUUCAGUGUCACAUACAUUUCUUACACACACACACACACACACACACACACACACACAAACAGAGCUCGUCUCAGAGCUAGCUUUAAGUGGUGAAGGAAGACUGACCUCAGAUCAGGUCUGUAUGAGAUAACAAUGUGUUAAUCUCGUCAAUGCUCGAUGUCUUCACCUACAUUCACACUAGCAUUGGCGCUCGUCUACAGUUCGUCUCUUGUUGGCGUGUAGCGAUCUGUCCCAUCGUCACUUGUAGGCGUGGCUUGAAAAUUACAAUAAGAAAGGGUUAUAGUUAACAAGUUAAACCAAUCGGUGUGAAAACCAAGCUUCAAACUCAGAUUGGACUUGUUAUGUACACUCCCUAGAGGCACCGAUGAUCUCUCCUACUUCCUUCCAAGCGUUCUCCAUACCGUCUCUAUAUACAUUUAAUGAGAGGUCGUAUGUGACAGGAGAAGACGGAACCACGGCUGUAGGUUUCUUUGCGAAUCGAACAGAAAAACGGGAACCGUAGAAACGUCGGACCUCUUGCUCCACAGGACUGACCCGAGGAACCGUUCAAGCCUUUCGUCUGGAGUUGUUGCUUUGAGAAAAUCCCGGUUUAAACGUCGGACGCCGUUCUAUCGCUCGCUAGUGUGAACGUAGGAGUCUGGAAUUUUACAUUCGGUUCAUGAUAACGUGACAAACGGCAUUCUGUGAUGGAAAUAUGACGAAUUGGAAACACGUUCGCUAGGGAUGUUACUGAUGCAGUAAAAACCCAACAACAAACCCGGCACCCUAUAAACGGAUUCGGGUACUUUCGCACGUUUGUGCAGGUCGAUAAAUGAAAAACACAGACGCUCCCGCAGACGGUACGAACACAUCCCGAACGCAGCGAUGCCGUUCGGGAACAGUUAGAAAAAUUGGCUACUUUUAUGGCACAUAAGGUUAUGACUAAACAAGACAAACAACAAAUCAAAGCACAACCACACGUCUAUCCGUAAUUAAAGGGGCGGAUCUGGGAGAAUUUUGUUGUUGUCGUUGUUGUUUGUAACAUCGCAGACAUAAUCAGCAUUCAGGCUUUACGAUAACUUUUAAAAGUACAAAAAUUUUUCCACAAUGAAAAACUGGAAGACGGAGAAGAAAAAAAAUAUGGCCGAGCUUGACCUCCAAACACGGAGAGUGACGAGCGAACGUUCAGACGCUUCGCGACACCGUCGUCGAGGGUAACCGAGAGCAGGUACGCGUAUAAAACACACGCUCUGUGAUGGCGGGAAUAUUCCGGGCUGGUCUGGUUUUUGCUCUGAAAGUGCGAAUCGAGUGACGAACGUGUUCCUGUCACAUGUGUUCAUAUGUGUGUGUGUGUGUGUGUGUGUGUGUGUGUGUGAGUGUGUGUGUGUACUCCAUGGGUCUACAAAGGCUACGUAAAUGCACCUUUAGCGCUUCGUCAUAAAGUCAGAAACCACUUUCGGCGAGUAAUACAUUUCGUUUAGCUCAUUAUAUUUCUGCUGAUUAAUAAAAAGUAAAUAAAAGAUUUUGCUUAAUUCAGUGUAGCUUGUAGAAGUCGUGUUUACUAUUUUAUAUAUAUAUAUAUAUAUAUAUAUAUAUAUAUAUAUAUAUAUACAAAUAUAUUUAUAAACAUGUAUACGUAUAUACAAGGUCUUUAAUAGCAUAACAAUGUCACGAACACCCUACCUCCGAACUUAACUAAUCGUUCUACAGUCAAAUGGACGAACAUGACAAGAGAUGACGUCAGGACCUUCGACGUUUCGAGUGAAAUCCUAACGGUGAACUUAUGAACGUAUCGUGACAGCCUAAGGAACUUUUUCACGCGCACUCGGUUUGUACUCCUGUAACGUGAAGUAUUUAGACGUACAUCGAGAAUUGAUCUAAUCCGAACGGAAUAAAACUGCGACUGCUGUGACGCGAGGUGAUGUUACGAUUAAGGGCUUUGACGCCGUGCUGGUCUGUGUGUGGACGUUUGUAAAUAAACGUUCGCCGUUAUGACGGACAGAACAACCUUCCCCUCGAACCCGUCUAGACGUGUUCGGUGCGUGCCGUUCGCUUGGUACGAGGGUAAUACGGCUAACGAGUAAGAAAACUGCGACACGUUCAAAUGGAGGAAAGUUCCUCGUAUUCAGAGUCGGGUUACGCGCGUGCAUAAGUCAGUUACGUAACUGAAAAUAGUGUAACAGGAGGUUACUGAAAAAUACGAAUUUGGGAGAAACUUAUAAAGUAGCACUUGAUCUAGUACAUCCUGUUAUUUAUUUUGCAUAUAUA
Ictalurus punctatus (channel catfish) is the source of this 4007-nucleotide long non-coding RNA. The record is from Ensembl. Lineage: Eukaryota; Metazoa; Chordata; Actinopteri; Siluriformes; Ictaluridae.